Molecule: small nuclear RNA, 104 nt
Organism: Saimiri boliviensis boliviensis (Bolivian squirrel monkey)
Lineage: Eukaryota; Metazoa; Chordata; Mammalia; Primates; Cebidae
Source: Ensembl
AUGCUUCGGCAGCAUGUACACUAAAACUGGAAUGAUACAGAGAAGAUUAGCAUGAUCCUUACACAGGGAACACAAAAAUUCCCUGUGUAAUUUUUAUAUAUUAG